CCUGAGGUACGACGACCUGUACGACCCCUACUUCGAUCUGGACAUCAAGGAGGCGCUCGGCAGGCUGCCCCGGGAGGUGGUCGACGCCCGCCACCAGCGCCUCAAGCGCGCCAUGGACCUCUCCAUGAAGCACCAGUACCUCCCCGACGACGUCCGGGUACGUCCCUCUCCCUGCCCCCUCCCGCCCUCUAAUCUGCGCGGAUCUCUCUCGAUUCGCGUGUCUCCGGUUUGUUGGAUGUGGGGAUGGCGUGCGGAUUUAUCCGAUCAAUUCUGGCCUUCUCGAGGGCCUGUGCGGUAGCCGCGAUUUCUCUAUGUGUUAUGGCUGAUGGUUGCGCGUUUAGUGAAAUGAAUCGGGAAAGUGAUGUGCGUAGUGCAUUUCGGUUGCAUAUGUGGUCUAGAUGUUCCAUUCGGUUCAUCCACGCUGCAUUGCAAUUCGCACUGUGGUUUGUUGUCUAGGAAACCGGUGAAUUAGAUGCUGGAGAUUUCAAUAGUUUGGAGGAGAGAAGUUGUACACAGCAAUUAUGGAGUUCAUAUUUGAGUGAGAAAUGGUCAUGGUUUAGGUUUGAUAGAACUUUGAAAUGUUACAUGAGAAUGAGAAUAAAGGAUUAGGUUUGAUAAAGCAUAAAAUUGUUGAAAUCUAUUAUGUUAUACUAGCGAGUCAGAUUAUUGUCCACAUUUUUGCAUGGUUUAAUUAGUCUUGCGAUCUUAUCGUGUCAUUUUUCAGUAUGUAGUUUAAAUCCCUAUUUAUGAUGCUUCGAUUGUUUCGAGGUUCAUAUGUAUUUUGGUGUACAAAGUUCUUUCUCUGGACGCAUUUUGCUUAGAUGGGUUUGAAUGAAUACCCAUCCUGUUGAUUUAUUCUUCAGUGCUGAAUAUGUUUUAGAUUAUUUCUCCCUGAAGAUCCAUUAACCCAUAUGGCCUGUGAUGUGUGAGAAACAUUCAUUAUGAACUAACUAUUCUUUUAGGUUCAGUAAUCAGUUUUGAUUACCAUUACACUAGCUAUUAUCAAACAUACGUAAGACACACAGGUCUUCUGAAACCUUUACUUCUUCUGUACAGGCACUGCAGACACCAUUCAAAAGCUAUUUGAGCGACAUGCUGGCUCUGGUAAGUGUAUUUGCUGAUGAUUGUCUUUUGUAUUGUCAUGUAUAAAUAAGUUAUAAUAUUCUGUAUGCUGCUUUGAACUAUGUACCCACUUCAAGUACAAGCGUGCUACAUUUCGGUCAUGCUGUAGAAUUCAGCCCUUGCACUUUUCUGCAUCAAUGUAUUUAUGCAACAUGUAUAGAUUAGCUUCAACUGGCAAUCCGGACGGAGAAUGGACCUUCUGAUACAAACUCAUUUGUCUGAUUUGAUGAAUGGAGUGGGUUGAUCCGUCAUCCCAAAACCAUUGGAUGGCCCCAUGAUUUGGCAAUCCAUCAUAGGAUGAGAUGUGAUGCCUCAAAUUAAACACCCUAUGUGUUUUAUGUAAAGCAGUUUCAUCAAGUUCCUCCCUAAACCAUGCUAUCUUGUAGUUUUCUUAUCCUUUGCAUCUUUGACCCUAUAUAAACAUUAAGCUCGCGCCUUACACCUUUCUUGGUCGUUUUGCAUUUAGAGCAUGUUUUGUCAGAUGAGUAGUUAAGUACAAGAUGGUACAGGCGUACAGCCAUAAAAUUUGUGAAGUCAUGAUCUACGUAUGUAAGGUGUGACUAAUGUGUAGCAUCCUUCUAACACCUCUGCCAACUUAGUUUGGCAGUUCCUAGAACUAAUUAUUAUUUCAACAUACAAGUAUUUCUCCAAACAAGACUGGUGUUAACCUAAAAAAUUCCUGGGCUUUAAGCCGAUGAUUUGAUAUUAUCCUGCGAAGCUAUUUACCAUUUCAAUACCAUUAAGGUCCGUUCCAAGUUGGCUAAUGUUUUGAUCUCACAUUCUGUUGCAGGUGAAAAAGGAGGCAGCAGAGCGUAAAGCACUGGGAGCCCUUCCCCUCUACGAGAGAACCCUUCCUUGAAGACAUUUUUCCUUGAUAUGCGCCACAGCUUUUGCUCCUCGUAGCAUCACAAUGCAUGAAAUAAAAUGCAGAUUAUGACACUGUUCCUCCUUCCGGUUUCAUGUCCAUGGCCUGUAGCUCGUGCCCCUUCCCAAAUUAAUUGCGACAGAAUUUCUGUUGCUGUUGCUGAUAUAAAAGUUUGUUUUGGUUGACGGAAUUGUUGCUAUAGAAGUCUGAACAAGUCUGUGCUCUUGGGCCUUUUCCGUUGAGCAACUGUUUGUUGUUUGCUUCCGGGUUUACGCUGCCUAUUUCUACAGAGCUGUGGUGCUAGUGAUCUGCUAUGUGCUGUGAAUUGUUCUUCCGAGCUUGCCUAGAGAUGUUUCU
This 2344-nucleotide long non-coding RNA is filed under the name Triticum aestivum (bread wheat). RNAcentral describes it as "long non-coding RNA (TAES_LNC009323)". Lineage: Eukaryota; Viridiplantae; Streptophyta; Magnoliopsida; Poales; Poaceae. The record is from RNAcentral.